This 487-nucleotide ribosomal RNA is filed under the name uncultured bacterium. Its description in RNAcentral is "bacterial SSU rRNA". It matches the Rfam family "Bacterial small subunit ribosomal RNA", at positions 32 to 507 of the family's 1533-position model. The record is from RNAcentral.
GACGACGCUGGCGGCGUUGCUUAACACAUGCAAGUCGAACGAGACGAUUUUAGAAGCUUGCUUUAUUGAGUCGAGUGGCAAACGGGUGAGUAACGCGUAGACAACCUGCCGCAAAGAUUGGGGACAACAGUCCGAAAGGACUGCUAAUACCGAAUGUUGUAUCUCCUCCGCAUGAAAGAGAUAUUAAAGAUGGCCUCUACUUGUAAGCUAUCGCUUUGCGAUGGGGAUGCGUCUGAUUAGGUUGUUGGCGGGGCAACGGCCCACCAAGCCUACGAUCAGUAGGGGUUCUGAGAGGAAGGUCCCCCACAUUGGAACUGAGACACGGUCCAAACUCCUACGGGAGGCAGCAGUGGGGAAUAUUGGGCAAUGGGCGAAAGCCUGACCCAGCAACGCCGCGUGAAGGAAGAAGGCCUUCGGGUUGUAAACUUCUUUUAAGAGGGACGAAGAAGUGACGGUACCUCUUGAAUAAGCCACGGCUAACUACGUG